RNAcentral lists this ribosomal RNA (974 nucleotides) under uncultured bacterium ACE-38. Its description in RNAcentral is "bacterial SSU rRNA". It matches the Rfam family "Bacterial small subunit ribosomal RNA", at positions 511 to 1503 of the family's 1533-position model. The record is from RNAcentral. Lineage: Bacteria; Candidatus Microgenomatota.
GCAGCGGCGGUAAUAUACGUGAUCCUCAAGCGUUAUCCGGAUUUAUUGGGCGUAAAGCGUUCGUAGGCGGCGAGAUAAGUUUUUGGUUAAAGCCCACGGCUUAACCGUGGAAAUGCCAAGAAUACUAUCUUGCUAGAGGGCAUUAGGGGCUGAUGGAACGGUCGGUGUAGGGGUGAAAUCCGUUGAUAUCGACCGGAACACCAGAAGCGAAGGCAUUCAGCUAGGAUGACCCUGACGCUGAGGAACGAAAGCGUGGGUAGCAAAAAGGAUUAGAUACCCUUGUAGUCCACGCUGUAAAUGAUGGACACUAGCUAUUUGAAGUGUCGACCCUUCAAGUGGCGAAGCUAACGCGUUAAGUGUCCCGCCUGGGAAGUACGGCCGCAAGGCUAAAACUCAAAGGAAUAGACGGGGCUUCACAUAAGCGGUGGAUCAUGUGGCUUAAUUCGACAACAAACGAGGAACCUUACCAGGGCUUGACAUUCUGCUAAAAUCCCGCAGAAACGCGGGACUACCCACAAGGAUAGCAGAACAGGUGCUGCAUGGUUGUCGUCAGCAUGUGCCGUGAGGUGCACCCUUAAAUGGGGUAACAUGCGCAACCCUCGUCCUGCGUUUCAAGUGUCGCAGGAAACUGCCUAAGAUAAUUAGGAGGAAGGUGAGGAUGACGCCAAAUCAGCAUGGCCCUUUGACGCCCUGGGCCGCACACAUGAUACAAUGGGACUGACAAUGGGCAAAACCGUAAGGCGAAGGUAAUCCCAUCAAACGGUCUCUUAGUUCGGAUUGAGGUCUGCAACUCGACCUCAUGAAGUUGGAAUCGCUAGUAAUCGCCAAUCAGCUAUGUGGCGAUGAAUAUGUUCCUGAGGCCUGUACUCACCGCCCGUCACGUCAAGCAAGCUGGGAAUACCCGAAGUUCGCGCUUUUAGCGCGACCUAAAGUACACUCAGUAUGAGGGGCGGAAGUCGUAACAAGGUAACCGU